AAUCUGUGAUGAGCCUCCACUUCAGGUCCGUGUUUUUGAAAACUCUGAUAGUUACGAAGUUCUGAGUUU
Cheilinus undulatus (humphead wrasse) is the source of this 69-nucleotide small nucleolar RNA. RefSeq annotates it as small nucleolar RNA SNORD18. The transcript has a single exon. The record is from RefSeq and is a predicted model, not a curated record. Lineage: Eukaryota; Metazoa; Chordata; Actinopteri; Labriformes; Labridae.